GCGAGGCAGAGCGAAUCGCUAAAAGCCGUCCCAGUUCGGAUUGCAGGCUGCAACCCGCCUGCAUGAAGUUGGAAUCGCUAGUAAUCGCGGAUCAGCAUGCCGCGGUGAAUACGUUCCCGGGCCUUGUACACACCGCCCGUCACACCAUGAGAGUCGGGAACACCCGAAGUCCGUAGCCUGACCGCAAGGGGGGCGCGGCCGAAGGUGGGUUCGAUAAUUGGGGUGAAGUCGUAACAAGGUAAC
Molecule: ribosomal RNA, 243 nt
Filed under: uncultured bacterium
Lineage: Bacteria
Description: partial 16S ribosomal RNA
Rfam family: Bacterial small subunit ribosomal RNA
Source: RNAcentral